This 277-nucleotide long non-coding RNA is filed under the name Carica papaya (papaya). Its description in RNAcentral is "long non-coding RNA (CPAP_LNC002245)". The record is from RNAcentral. Lineage: Eukaryota; Viridiplantae; Streptophyta; Magnoliopsida; Brassicales; Caricaceae.
CGUACCUUCACCAUGGGAAUCGUCUUGUUACGUAAGACCUUAUUAGUCAAGCUGGGAAUUUUUGCAGGAACCUCCUCAUAGGUCAUUUCGGCCUGUACCUAUGCUUCAUCACAAUGAAUAACAUGAGAAGGAUUAGGGUGGUACUUCUUAAGCAUCGAGACAUGAAAGAUAUCAUGUAAACCUGUGAACUCCCAAGAUAGAGUGAGGUGGUAAGCCAUGGGUCUAAUGCGCUCGACGAUAAAAAAAGGUCCCACAUAUCGAUGGCUCAACUUUCUUC